GAUGCCCGCUUUCUUCUUUCCUAAUACAUGCCAGUCGAGCGAACAGACGAGGAGCUUGCUCCUCUGACGUUAGCGGCGGACGGGUGAGUAACACGUGGAUAACCUACCUAUAAGACUGGGAUAACUUCGGGAAACCGGAGCUAAUACCGGAUAAUAUAUUGAACCGCAUGGUUCAAUAGUGAAAGACGGUUUUGCUGUCACUUAUAGAUGGAUCCGCGCCGCAUUAGCUAGUUGGUAAGGUAACGGCUUACCAAGUCAACGAUGCGUAGCCGACCUGAGAGGGUGAUCGGCCACACUGGAACUGAGACACGGUCCAGACUCCUACGGGAGGCAGCAGUAGGGAAUCUUCCGCAAUGGGCGAAAGCCUGACGGAGCAACGCCGCGUGAGUGAUGACGGUCUUCGGAUCGUAAAACUCUGUUAUUAGGGAAGAACAAAUGUGUAAGUAACUAUGCACGUCUUGACGGUACCUAAUCAGAAAGCCACGGCUAACUACGUG
This 497-nucleotide ribosomal RNA is filed under the name uncultured bacterium. Its description in RNAcentral is "partial 16S ribosomal RNA". It matches the Rfam family "Bacterial small subunit ribosomal RNA", at positions 28 to 507 of the family's 1533-position model. The record is from RNAcentral.